AGAGGCGCGGGUGAAGCGAGAAAGCGCUCAACGAGAGAGGAAGCGGAGGCGAUCGAACGGGCGGGAAGCGUGACAGGGAUGGAGCUGGAGAACGAAAAAGAGAGUCGAGCGGCCGCCGAACGGGAUGGAGGUAGUAUCCAGUGAAAGAGAUGUGGGAGGAAGGGAGAAAGAGGGCCGAGGAGAAAGAUACGGCGAGGGUGGGAGGGAGAAAGCGGCAAAGGGAGAGAGCUCGCUAGCGAAGAAAGAGAGUGGGAGGAAGAGAGGUUGAUGCGGGCGUAGGUACACAUUUACCCAUACAUAUGUAUAUUUCCUCGAUCCCUGGGUUUCGAUCGCGACCCCCCGCUGCACCUCGACGCGUUCGCAUUCGGCCAGAAUGCACGGUACUCGUGCGUGUACACGUAUACUCGACUCCAAUUUUCCCGGCUAUUUGGGAAAUUUCUAGAUCACAGCCCGUGCGUUCGCUCGUUACUCGUUCGCGUUUGUUUUAUUCGGUAUGUCGCGUUUUCUCUCCCCAUUUUUCUUUCUUUUUUUUUUUUUUCAUUAUUACACGAGCAACGCACGAUCUUUUAAUGGAUGCAAUAACGAGGAUACGUUGUUAGCCGGUGCGGACUGUCGAGUCUGUAGCUCUAUAACGCCAAGUAAAUUGGUUUCUAUUGGUCUCUAGCAUCAAAGAACUUGAGUGCCUUGCUUGCUGCGGACAUACGCCGGAGUCAGCUCGCAUUGUGUCGAAACAAAAAUCAAUCUAGUUCUCGCAUAAGGAGAAGUAUUUUUCUGUUUACUUUUUCUUUUUUCCUUUCUCUUCUUUCUCUUUUCUUGCUUCCGUACGAAAGAGGUUCGAUGACGCGUAACUUCUUCGUUACGUUGCGGAGAGGAAGGGAGGGAGGGAGAGAGAGAGGGAGAGAGAGAGAGCUUUCCAAGUAGUCUUUGUAAGUAAUGGAAAAUUUUAGGACCUUUCGUUUCAUCGUGUUUCGUUCGAUCAACCUUGCUUGCGGUUUUCGAAUUUCC
RNAcentral lists this unclassified non-coding RNA (1005 nucleotides) under Bombus terrestris (buff-tailed bumblebee). RNAcentral describes it as "misc RNA ENSBTSG00005025906.1". Lineage: Eukaryota; Metazoa; Arthropoda; Insecta; Hymenoptera; Apidae. The record is from RNAcentral.